UGGGGAAUAUUGGACAAUGGGGGCAACCCUGAUCCAGCAAUGCCGCGUGUGUGAAGAAGGCCUUCGGGUUGUAAAGCACUUUAGGUGGGGAAGAAGGUGUAUUGUUUAAGAGAUGAUACAUUUGACGGUACCCACAGAAUAAGCACCGGCUAACUCUGUGCCAGCAGCCGCGGUAAUACAGAGGGUGCAAGCGUUAAUCGGAAUUACUGGGCUUAAAGGGCGCGUAGGCGGGUUCUCAAGUCGGGGGUGAAAUCCCACCGCUCAACGGUGGAAGUGCCCCCGAUACUGGGAGUCUGGAGGGAGGUAGGGGUGUGUGGAACUUCCGGUGGAGCGGUGAAAUGCGUAGAUAUCGGAAGGAACGCCGGUGGCGAAAGCGACGCACUGGACCUCUUCUGACGCUGAGGCGCGAAAGCCAGGGGAGCAAACGG
Molecule: ribosomal RNA, 428 nt
Filed under: uncultured bacterium
Lineage: Bacteria
Description: bacterial SSU rRNA
Rfam family: Bacterial small subunit ribosomal RNA
Source: RNAcentral